ACCGGGCCAUGAAUGCUAUUUUUAACACAAUGUCGUUGAGCUACAGGAAGACUAGAUUAAAUCAUUCCUGCUUCUCUCCUCCAUGUUUUGUCCAGGUUCCUAGAAAGGUUGGCCCCAAACUUCAGGCCCCAGGUGUCUGGCUUUUUACUAGAUUUAGUGAAUUCCUUAAAACAAAUGAUACCUCCAUAUAUUGGUUGCUAGCUUAUAGAAGAUAGGGUUUUUUCCCCUUAAUUCCUCAACUGAUUUUUCUAGAGAUUCCUGAUGGAUAAACUUCCCAUGACACACUGGACAAGAAUGCUGAAAUCGCAGUGCAGGAUCCUGUGGGAGCCAUUCUCACCUUUGCUGCUGGAACUUUCUCACACUUGUCUUAUGCUACUUCAGUACUGCAGUGAAGAGAUUAGUAGAUCUUCUUCAUAAAUGGUGUUGGAAUGAAGGAGAGCCAGGAUUCCCACCCGCUGUAGAGACAAAUGGUGCUGUAUUGAGCUGUUCUUGUGGACUGUGCCUGGGGAGUGGCAGAAAAACUCAAGAAAAGAAAUAAUUCUCUGCCUUGUCCUUUUCACCUGUGUCAUCUCCUUUACUCAUACUCCCUGAGAACAACAGGAAGGAAACAAAAUGGAACAGAAGAAGGAAUCCAAAGAGAGACAUUAGAAGAGGUACAGGUCUGUGAAUUGAAGAAAUGGGAAGUUUUAAAACAUCCUAUUCUACCAGUGGAUGCGAGAACCCCUUGCUCUGUGUUACACUUGGUAAAUAACACCACGGGUUGCUUUCAGUGACCGUGAGAGUUCUUCGGAUUCCAACUUGCAGAAUGUUCCUCGGGGACCCUGCGAUGCCCAAGUAGGGGAAUGGUCAGUUUUGGGGUCGAGCUGGUGAGGCCUGUCUGGGGUGGCUCUCCCUGGGAGCAGGUCCCAGAAGCUACCGUUCCCCGUCGGGUUCUGUGACUUCUUCCAGUCUCUUUACUCCUUCCUGCCACAUUUUGACUGGUUUCAAUGGAGCAGAAUCAGGCAUGUCUCUGUGGAACACGCUCAGAGGUUUUGGAGGAUGUCUUGCGUACCCCUUUUUUAACCUGGGUGAGGACCUGCGUACCCGGUGAGGACCUUGGGUUUUCUGGGACAUACUCAGAAGAUGGAUGAAAAAGACACGUGGUAUUCAAAAAUCUGCCGACCUGUUUGAAUUUGCCUAAGACUGUGAGGUGCCCCUUCUUCCAUGGUGCCCUGCACUGUGUCCUUCAAGCCUUUGUUGAGUGUCAGUGGUGGAUGCUGAAGGAAUUGUUUCUUCUUACAUCUAACCGAGAACUCCAGAAAAGAUUCAGUUAUGCUUCCAGAACUAUCUGGCAACAGAUCUUCCUCCUACUUACCCACCCUUUCAUUAGUAUCCCGUUCUCACACUUGGCUGGAGGAUGAUAAGACAUGUCAACCCUAUUCUUUUUUUUUUU
This is a long non-coding RNA of Mustela erminea (ermine), 1432 nucleotides long. RefSeq lists it as uncharacterized. NCBI's taxonomy places the organism in Eukaryota, Metazoa, Chordata, Mammalia, Carnivora, Mustelidae. The transcript is spliced from 7 exons. The record is from RefSeq and is a predicted model, not a curated record.